AACGUAGGAGGCAAGCGUUAUCCGGAAUCACUGGGCGUAAAGGGCGUCUAGGCGGGGUGGUAAGCGUGGUGUGAAAGCUCCUGGCUUAACUGGGAGAGUGCGCCGCGAACUGCCGCUCUAGAGGGUGAGCGAAGGGGGUGGAAUUCCCGGUGGAGUGGUGAAAUGCGUAGAGAUCGGGAGGAACACCAGUGGCGCAAGCGGCCCCCUAGCUUACAACUGACGCUGAAGCGCGAGAGCGUGGGGAGCAAACGGG
RNAcentral lists this ribosomal RNA (253 nucleotides) under uncultured bacterium. RNAcentral's name for it is "partial 16S ribosomal RNA". It matches the Rfam family "Bacterial small subunit ribosomal RNA", at positions 524 to 776 of the family's 1533-position model. The record is from RNAcentral.